AUUGAACGCCGGCGGCAUGCCUAACACAUGCAAGUCGAACGGGGCGCUUCGGCGCCUUGUGGCGGACGGGUGAGUAAAGCGUAGGAAUCUGCCUUGUAGUGGGGGACAACCUGGGGAAACUCAGGCUAAUACCGCAUACGCUCGCGAGAGGAAAGCGGGGGGAUCUUCGGACCUCGCGCCGCAAGAAGAGCCUACGUCCGAUUAGCUAGUUGGUAGGGUAAAAGCCUACCAAGGCGACGAUCGGUAGCUGGUCUGAGAGGAUGAUCAGCCACACUGGGACUGAGACACGGCCCAGACUCCUACGGGAGGCAGCAGUGGGGAAUAUUGGACAAUGGGCGCAAGCCUGAUCCAGCAAUGCCGCGUGGGUGAAGAAGGCCUGCGGGUUGUAAAGCCCUUUAAGUGGGGAGGAACGGCGGGAUGCGAACAGUGUUCUGCUCUGACGUUACCCACAGAAUAAGCACCGGCUAACUCCGUGCCAGCAGCCGCGGUAAU
RNAcentral lists this ribosomal RNA (492 nucleotides) under uncultured bacterium. Its description in RNAcentral is "bacterial SSU rRNA". It matches the Rfam family "Bacterial small subunit ribosomal RNA", at positions 29 to 524 of the family's 1533-position model. The record is from RNAcentral.